Molecule: long non-coding RNA, 201 nt
Filed under: Elaeis guineensis (African oil palm)
Lineage: Eukaryota; Viridiplantae; Streptophyta; Magnoliopsida; Arecales; Arecaceae
Description: long non-coding RNA (EGUI_LNC012278)
Source: RNAcentral
GGCAUAUUCUUGUUAUUCCCUAUCUAUAUUUGGGUCUACAUAUCUGUAUUUAUAAGUCCUUGUACGCACUCUUGAGUGAAUGAAAAAAAAUAAAAAUAAAUUUUUCCUUCUUCUUUUUCAUCAUGGUAUCAGAGCUCUCAGGUUCUGAUCCAGUUUUUCUUCCUUUUCCUUCUUAAAAACCCUUCUCUUCCCUCCGCCGCU